GACGUUUAAUGCAGAAAACGGAACAGAGCCUACUAUUUUGCUAGGAUCUUGUAUUUUGAUUUUAGAGAAAUGGACAUUGUGAAAAUAAAAGAGGAAGACGAUGUGGAGAGUGUUGUUUUGGAUAUAGUAAAAGAAGAAUAUUGUAUCCAAGGAGAAUAUAUGGCAGAAUCUUAUCCUGAAGAGUUUACUAUAGAAAUGUCUUCAGGAUCCAGUAUCAUAAAAAUUGAAGAUGAGAAUGUAAAAGAGAAGAAAACCUUUGAAUGUCCUAAAUGCAAACUAAAAUUCCUUCGUCAGCUCUCCCUUGAGCAACAUAUUUGCAAAUUGGGACAACGUAUAGAUUAUGCAUUUCUGUGUUCAAAAUGUUCCAUACAGUUUCGGGAUGGAACACUUUUUCUCAGACAUCUCAAAACGCAUCAUACUGAAUCUAAAGAAAUUAUCCGUUGUCCCCUUUGUUACAAAGCUUACACAUAUGUAGCUCAUCUAAUGCAUCAUGUCACCAAACACUUAAAAGGGCCACAAUUUAAAUGUAAUGCAUGUGUAAGGAUAUUCUGCGAAGAAAUUGAAUUGUAGCGACAUAUAUCCGUAAUUCAUCGCAGGGUGCAUGAGAAAUUAAUUUGUAGGCAAUGUGGCAAAAUCCUGAUGGAUUAUGAAUCCUAUGAGAAACACUCUCAAACCCACUCAUCGAAGAACAUCUAUUGCCCCAGAUGCCCGAUGACGUUUAAGCUCAAGCUACAGAUGGAGAGACAUCUGGCCAGUCAGCACAAAGAUGAUAAAACAUAAAACAUUUGUUUCAAACAAGUGCAAAACGUCCUUAAUCAAGAGAAUGGUAAAUUACAAGAAUUGUGGCAUAAUUCUGUGAGAGAUGAGCUUUAAAAUAGUCUUUAAUUAAGACGUGUAUAACAACAAGAUAAUUAAAAAAAAUCAUGAAGAUACUUAUCAGUACAGUAACUAAGCCAAUUUUCAUCAUUAGUUUAAUCAUGAUUGCUAAAUAUUCUGCGAUUUUGGAACCUGUCGCCAACGUUCUCCAAGAUAGGAGUAUGGAUUUUAUAAUGGUGAGAAAGCACAUCGGGGAUAUUCUGGAGAUUAUUUGGAAAGUCUGAGUAGACUUAGUUAUCCCUCGACUAGCUACAAGACAAAAGUACAUAAAUAAUGCACCAGCUGACAGUCCGAAUGAAUACUGGAGACGAUCUUUAAUAAUUCCUUAUCUCGACUCCCUGGCUUUUUCUAUAAGCGUAAGGUUUUCAGAAGAAAACACUCUCGCUUUCGCAUUAUCCCAUAUACAUCCAUCCCACAUACUCUCCUCUAAGGAUUUAGAGACAAACAUGAAAAUUUCUCAAGAUUUUUAUGAACUGAGGGACAUUGCAGCAGAAAUGGAGUUGUGGGGUAACCCGUGGAAAAAGAAAGGAUUGUCAAAGGUUAAGUUAAAAGAUAUUGAAGUGGCCUCAUUGUUGGAGGAGGCCAACGUGUUUUAUCCUACAAUAAGGCACGCUUUAUUGAUUUUAUGCGCCUUUCCAUUGACCACAGCAUCUGUUGAAAGGUCUUUCAGUACCCUUCGAAGGGUCAAAACCUGGCUGCGAAGCACAAUGGGACAGGAGAGAUUGUCGGUAUUGUGUCUGAUGAGUGUUCAUCGCAAUUUCUUCAAAGAAAAGCGGGAGUGGGUAAAAGCGGAAGUUCUGGAAAAAUUUGCUGCAAACCCCAGAAAACUGUUAAUAAUAUAGCAUAUCCAUAUGUAACAUCUAUUCCUGAAAGCUAAUGAGCCAAGUUUCCAACAAUAGUUAACUCAUCCAAUUAUGUUCUACUGACAGAAUAUAUGUGCUCAUCUAAUAGGGUAAGUGUGCCAAAUUCCGGCCAGCUUGCAAUUCCAGCCACCUUUUUUGUUCUUCGAAUUUCCAUGAUUUUUUAGUUUUUACAUACUUUAGAGAUUAUACAAUGCAAAAGAAUAACAAAAAAUGUAGCUUUGACAAACGAGAUGACGUGAAAAAGACAUUGGAAGAAUUCCCGAAGGGCAAGGAACUAUGAGAAUGAAGGUGGCCGAAAUAGGGCACCAAAACUAUGUCUACAUUUUUAUUCAUUUUAAAAUGUAUUAAGAACGAUUUCAAAAUAAAUAAAGACGAUAAACUGUC
Long non-coding RNA from Phlebotomus papatasi, 2123 nucleotides. RefSeq lists it as uncharacterized. NCBI's taxonomy places the organism in Eukaryota, Metazoa, Arthropoda, Insecta, Diptera, Psychodidae. The record is from RefSeq and is a predicted model, not a curated record. The transcript has 3 exons.